Long non-coding RNA from Engraulis encrasicolus (European anchovy), 577 nucleotides. RefSeq lists it as uncharacterized. The transcript is spliced from 3 exons. The record is from RefSeq and is a predicted model, not a curated record. NCBI's taxonomy places the organism in Eukaryota, Metazoa, Chordata, Actinopteri, Clupeiformes, Engraulidae.
ACGGGCAUAUGACGUCACCGCGCUGGAUCUGCCAUGUUUAGUGCAUAGACGUCCCUUUUCCCCAUUGUUUUCCAGCGCAGCGCAGGACGUAGUCUCGCCUGGUCUUGCUACUUAAUUGUGAUUUUUAACUAUCUUGCUGCUCACUUUUCUUUGCCACUAUUGUCCAUCGUUGUUGUGUCGUGGGGUGCAAUAGCGCAAGCCACCAUAGGAAAGGGGGAAUUGGAUUAUCUUUCUACUCAUUUCCUUCUUGGAGGCAGCACCAUGGUGACCAAGUCUCGGAUAUAACAAAGUGUCGUCGGCUAGCAUGGGUCGCUGCUGUAAGACGACCAAAAUAACUUUCCACUCAAUCCUGACGAGUGUGCUCUCUGCAUUUUCAUUUUGGUACACCAGCAAAUGAAAUGAACACCUCCCAUCCGGAUUGGGCACUAUCACUGCACUUGGGGUACACGACCAAGACAGUCACCACCACCACCGAGACUUCUCGCUAUGAGACAGGAACAAAGAAAACGACGAAGGACUGAGAGCAUAGCGUCGAUGGAUGAGACACCCCUUGUUACACCAGUGGAGACAACUGGGG